AGAGUUUGAUCAUGGCUCAGGAUGAACGCUAGCGACAGGCCUAACACAUGCAAGUCGAGGGGCAGCAUAAAGGUAGCAAUACUUUGGUGGCGACCGGCGCACGGGUGAGUAACACGUAUGCAACCUACCUGUAAGCGGGGGAUAACCCGGAGAAAUCCGGACUAAUACCGCAUAAAACCGUUUUUCUGCAUGGAACGAGGGUUAAACAUUUAUGGCUAACAGAUGGGCAUGCGUAUGAUUAGAUAGUUGGUGAGGUAACGGCUCACCAAGUCAACGAUCAUUAGGGGUUCUGAGAGGAAGGUCCCCCACACUGGUACUGAGACACGGACCAGACUCCUACGGGAGGCAGCAGUGAGGAAUAUUGGUCAAUGGGCGAGAGCCUGAACCAGCCAAGUCGCGUGAGGGAAGAAGGUUCUAUGGAUUGUAAACUUCUUUUGUAAGGGAAUAAAAUGCGCCACGUGUGGUGUUUUGUAUGUACUUUACGAAUAAGGAUCGGCUAACUCCGUGCCAGCAGCCGCGGUAAUACGGAGGAUCCAAGCGUUAUCCGGAUUUAUUGGGUUUAAAGGGUGCGUAGGCGGGAGAUUAAGUCAGUGGUGAAAGUUUGCAGCUCAACUGUAAAAUUGCCAUUGAAACUGAUUUUCUUGAGUGUAAAUAAGGUAGGCGGAAUGUUGUGUAGCGGUGAAAUGCAUAGAUAUAACACAGAACACCAAUUGCGAAGGCAGCUUACCGGGCUACAACUGACGCUGAGGCACGAAAGCGUGGGGAUCAAACAGGAUUAGAUACCCUAGUAGUCC
This 794-nucleotide ribosomal RNA is filed under the name uncultured bacterium. RNAcentral's name for it is "bacterial SSU rRNA". It matches the Rfam family "Bacterial small subunit ribosomal RNA", at positions 8 to 796 of the family's 1533-position model. The record is from RNAcentral.